RNAcentral lists this ribosomal RNA (448 nucleotides) under uncultured cyanobacterium. Its description in RNAcentral is "bacterial SSU rRNA". It matches the Rfam family "Bacterial small subunit ribosomal RNA", at positions 776 to 1224 of the family's 1533-position model. The record is from RNAcentral. Lineage: Bacteria; Bacillati; Cyanobacteriota.
GAUUAGAUACCCCUGUAUUCCUAGCUGUAAACGAUGGAUACUAGGCGUAGCUUGUAUCGACCCGAGCUGUGCCGAAGCUAACGCGUUAAGUAUCCCGCCUGGGGAGUACGCACGCAAGUGUGAAACUCAAAGGAAUUGACGGGGGCCCGCACAAGCGGUGGAGUAUGUGGUUUAAUUCGAUGCAACGCGAAGAACCUUACCAGGGCUUGACAUGUCGCGAAUCUAGGGGAAACUUUAGAGUGCCUUCGGGAACGCGAACACAGGUGGUGCAUGGCUGUGGUCAGCUCGUGUCGUGAGAUGUUGGGUUAAGUCCCUCAUCGAGCGCAACCCUCGUCCUUAGUUGCCAGCCUUAAGUGGGGCACUCUAGGGAGACUGCCGGUGACAAACCGGAGGAAGGUGGGGAUGACGUCAAGUCAUCAUGCCCCGUACGUCCUGGGGUACACACGUA